GUUUAGACGAGAUAUAUAAGAUCAAACCAUUGUGAUCCUUGUCUGCAGUUAGCACGGUUCUUUUGGGUACAAACAUGCACAGUCUUUAAAAGUAACUUAAUUCCAGGCACUUUAUGUUGAGCUUCACCACAGAGACAGCAGCAAAUGAAAAAACACUAAUGUAACACAAAUCCCUAUAAACAAAAACCUAGCUCGUCUGAGCACUUACUAACAUCAGAU
This is a non-coding RNA of Pelobates cultripes (western spadefoot toad), 219 nucleotides long. The record is from the annotation of a GenBank genome assembly. Lineage: Eukaryota; Metazoa; Chordata; Amphibia; Anura; Pelobatidae.